This 363-nucleotide transfer-messenger RNA is filed under the name Bacillota bacterium. It matches the Rfam family "transfer-messenger RNA". From Rfam's summary of the family: Bacterial tmRNA, also known as 10Sa RNA or SsrA, is named for its dual tRNA and mRNA-like properties. Its role is to liberate the mRNA from a stalled ribosome. To accomplish this part of the tmRNA is used as a reading frame that ends in a translation stop signal. The record is from RNAcentral. RNAcentral also lists the same sequence under 1 other name. Lineage: Bacteria; Bacillati; Bacillota.
GGGGGCGAGUAGGCUCGACGUGGCGAGUGGGGACAGGAGAUAAGCGGGCCGAGGUCCCACCAGCUCGUUAAACGGUGGAAGGCAAUAAGUGCCAACUACGAACCUGCUUACGCGGCUGCUGCUUAAUUAAGUAACGCCGCGCGUCGCGGCCGCCGCGCCUGCACGGCAGCCGACGGCGUCAUAGCUUGCAGGCUUACCCCUGACCGCCGCCCUCCGGGCAGGGGGACAGCCAAGAGGGCUAGCCUGCCGGGAAUCCUGCCUGUGGGAAGCCCGGCGGGUGAACGGCAAACACAGGCUGCGCCCGGAGAAACUCCUGUCACUGCCGUUGCGGACCCGGCGUGCGACUCGUCGGCGCCUCCACCA